UUAAGCCAUGCAUGUCUGAGUUCGCACCCCACAAGCACGGGCAAACCGCGAAUGGCUCAUUAGAUCAGUCAGGGUUCCUUAGGCGAUACGGCCCCUCGCGGGCGAGACGGAUAACUGUGGCAAAUCCAGAGCUAAUACGUGCGAGCGAGCCCCGACCCUCCCCGCAAGGGGACGGGGAAGGGCGCUUUUAUUAGUACAAGACCGGCGUCCGUGGGUUUUACGACCCCGGGCCCACCGCCAGGCGAACUCUGGAUAACUCGCCCGACCGCUACGUUCUUCGGGACGGCGGCGCGCCUUUCAAGCGUCUGCCCUAUCAAAUGUCGACGGUAGGUCAAACGCCAACCGUGUUGACGACGGGUGACGGGGAAUCGGGGUUCGGUUCCGGAGAGGGAGCACGAGAAACGGCUACCACAUCCAAGGAAGGCAGCAGGCGCGCAACUUACCCACUCCCGGCUCGGGGAGGUAGUGACGAGAAAUAACGAUGCGGGUCUCGAGUCGGGCCCCGCGGUCGGAAUGAGCGCAGUCCAAACCCCUGACGGCGACGACCCAUCGGAGGGCAAGCCUGGUGCCAGCAGCCGCGGUAAUUCCAGCUCCGAUAGCGUAUAUUAAAGCUGCUGCAGUUAAAAAGCUCGUAGUUGGAUCUCGAGGCGGGGCGACGUCGGCGAGCGCUCGACUCGGAAGCAUUGCUCGUCCUUGUGGCGGCGGUGUUUUUGGUCGCGGCGUUUUCGGCAUCGCACCGCCCCCAAUCGCGCCGGCUCUCUCCCGCGUGCCGCUCUUCACUGGGCGGCCCGGGUGGCCGGCCAUUCACUUUGAAAAAAUUAGAGUGUUCAAAGCGGGCAGGAGCGCCCGGAUAACGUCGCAUGGAAUGAUGGAACAGGACCGCCGUCCCGUUUUCGGCCGGUCUCAGGGGCGGAGGUAAUGAUUGAAAGGGACGGCCGGGGGCAUUCGUACCGCGGCGGGAGAGG
This 965-nucleotide ribosomal RNA is filed under the name Dendronotus patricki. Its description in RNAcentral is "bacterial SSU rRNA". It matches the Rfam family "Eukaryotic small subunit ribosomal RNA", at positions 44 to 911 of the family's 1831-position model. Lineage: Eukaryota; Metazoa; Mollusca; Gastropoda; Nudibranchia; Dendronotidae. The record is from RNAcentral.